GACCCGUAAUCCGGGUUGCGGACAGUGUCUGGUGGGUAGUUUGACUGGGGCGGUCUCCUCCUAAAGAGUAACGGAGGAGCACGAAGGUUGGCUAAUCCUGGUCGGACAUCAGGAGGUUAGUGCAAUGGCAUAAGCCAGCUUGACUGCGAGCGUGACGGCGCGAGCAGGUGCGAAAGCAGGUCAUAGUGAUCCGGUGGUUCUGAAUGGAAGGGCCAUCGCUCAACGGAUAAAAGGUACUCCGGGGAUAACAGGCUGAUACCGCCCAAGAGUUCAUAUCGACGGCGGUGUUUGGCACCUCGAUGUCGGCUCAUCACAUCCUGGGGCUGAAGUAGGUCCCAAGGGUAUGGCUGUUCGCCAUUUAAAGUGGUACGCGAGCUGGGUUUAGAACGUCGUGAGACAGUUCGGUCCCUAUCUGCCGUGGGCGCUGGAGAAUUGAGGGGGGCUGCUCCUAGUACGAGAGGACCGGAGUGGACGCAUCACUGGUGUUCGGGUUGUCAUGCCAAUGGCACUGCCCGGUAGCUAAAUGCGGAAGAGAUAAGUGCUGAAAGCAUCUAAGCACGAAACUUGCCCCGAGAUGAGUUCUCCCUGACUCCUUGAGAGUCCUGAAGGAACGUUGAAGACGACGACGUUGAUAGGCCGGGUGUGUAAGCGCAGCGAUGCGUUGAGCUAACCGGUACUAAUGAACCGUGAGGCUUAACCUUACAACGCCGAAGGUGUUU
RNAcentral lists this ribosomal RNA (719 nucleotides) under Escherichia coli. Its description in RNAcentral is "partial 23S ribosomal RNA". It matches the Rfam family "Bacterial large subunit ribosomal RNA", at positions 2230 to 2925 of the family's 2925-position model. The record is from RNAcentral. Lineage: Bacteria; Pseudomonadati; Pseudomonadota; Gammaproteobacteria; Enterobacterales; Enterobacteriaceae.